UAGUCUACGCCGUAAACGAUGGAUACUAGUUGUUUGAUCUUCGGAUUGAGUGACUAAGCGAAAGUGAUAAGUAUCCCACCUGGGGAGUACGUUCGCAAGAAUGAAACUCAAAGGAAUUGACGGGGGCCCGCACAAGCGGUGGAGCAUGUGGUUUAAUUCGAUGAUACGCGAGGAACCUUACCAGGGCUUAAAUGUAGUCUGACAGCUUUAGAGAUAGAGUUUUCUUCGGACAGAUUACAAGGUGCUGCAUGGUUGUCGUCAGCUCGUGCCGUGAGGUGUCAGGUUAGGUCCUAUAACGAGCGCAACCCCUGUUGUUAGUUGCCAUCGAGUAAUGUCGGGAACUCUAACAAGACUGCCGGUGCAAACCGUGAGGAAGGUGGGGAUGACGUCAAAUCAUCACGGCCCUUACGUCCUGGGCUACACACGUGCUACAAUGGCAAGGACAGUGAGCAGCGAACCCGCGAGGGUGAGCGAAUCUAUAAACCUUGUCUCAGUUCGGAUCGGAGU
RNAcentral lists this ribosomal RNA (507 nucleotides) under uncultured bacterium. Its description in RNAcentral is "bacterial SSU rRNA". It matches the Rfam family "Bacterial small subunit ribosomal RNA", at positions 791 to 1304 of the family's 1533-position model. The record is from RNAcentral.